AUGGCGGCGAUCCGAUGUGCUGCUGCUGGCAUCGCGCUCCUCCGACGAGCAGCAGCCGGCGGCGAGCGGGCAGCGCUGCAGAAGAUCUUCCCCUCGCUGCGACCUCGGGGGAUUCACAGCCUCCUCGAUCGGACUCCCAGCGCCGGCGCCCUGUCGUCGCCGAUGUCGUUAAUAGGUCCAGCUCGCUGCGGCGCCUCAUCCAACAGAUACAUGAGUACCGGCCGCUUACAGAAGGGCGGACACAGUGCGCCAACUUAUCAGGAGCCCAGUGCCAAGCUUCUCUGUCUGCUAACGCUCACGGCAUCAUUGAUGCAUGAUGCGUGGGAUUCUUACGAUGGGUUUGCAUGCCGUUUCGGCGAGUUUUCAACGUGCGAGUUCUCGUUGCCGCAGAUUUCCCAAUUCCCAACAGCUGCUUGGUCGGUACUGGACAAGACCCGUGACUCCAUGCUGGAAAGAGAGCCCCCAAGUUCAACCUGA
This 477-nucleotide ribosomal RNA is filed under the name Triticum aestivum (bread wheat). RNAcentral's name for it is "partial small subunit ribosomal RNA". The record is from RNAcentral. Lineage: Eukaryota; Viridiplantae; Streptophyta; Magnoliopsida; Poales; Poaceae.